This 85-nucleotide transfer RNA is filed under the name Felis catus (domestic cat). It matches the Rfam family "tRNA". Rfam says of the family: Transfer RNA (tRNA) molecules are approximately 80 nucleotides in length. Their secondary structure includes four short double-helical elements and three loops (D, anti-codon, and T loops). Lineage: Eukaryota; Metazoa; Chordata; Mammalia; Carnivora; Felidae. The record is from Rfam by way of RNAcentral.
GCCUGGGUAGCUCAGUCGGUAAAGCAUCCGACUUUGGCUCAGGUCAUGAUCUCGCGGUCCGUGGGUUCGAGCCCCGCAUUGGGCU